Molecule: ribosomal RNA, 431 nt
Filed under: uncultured bacterium
Lineage: Bacteria
Description: partial 16S ribosomal RNA
Rfam family: Bacterial small subunit ribosomal RNA
Source: RNAcentral
AACGAACGCUGGCGGCAGGCUUAACACAUGCAAGUCGAACGCCCCGCAAGGGGAGUGGCAGACGGGUGAGUAACGCGUGGGAAUCUACCCAUCCCUACGGAAUAACGCAUGGAAACGUGUGCUAAUACCGUAUACGCCCUACGGGGGAAAGAUUUAUCGGGGAUGGAUGAGCCCGCGUUGGAUUAGCUAGUUGGUGGGGUAAAGGCCUACCAAGGCGACGAUCCAUAGCUGGUCUGAGAGGAUGAUCAGCCACUUUGGGACUGAGACACGGCCCAAACUCCUACGGGAGGCAGCAGUGGGGAAUAUUGGACAAUGGGCGCAAGCCUGAUCCAGCCAUGCCGCGUGAGUGAUGAAGGCCUUAGGGUUGUAAAGCUCUUUCACCGGAGAAGAUAAUGACGGUAUCCGGAGAAGAAGCCCCGGCUAACUUCGUG